RNAcentral lists this ribosomal RNA (253 nucleotides) under uncultured bacterium. RNAcentral's name for it is "partial 16S ribosomal RNA". It matches the Rfam family "Bacterial small subunit ribosomal RNA", at positions 524 to 776 of the family's 1533-position model. The record is from RNAcentral.
UACGUAGGGUGCAAGCGUUGUCCGGAAUUAUUGGGCGUAAAGAGCUCGUAGGCGGUCUGUCGCGUCGGAUGUGAAAACCCAGGGCUCAACCCUGGGCCUGCAUUCGAUACGGGCAGACUAGAGUUCGGUAGGGGAGACUGGAAUUCCUGGUGUAGCGGUGAAAUGCGCAGAUAUCAGGAGGGACACCGGUGGCGAAGGCGGGUCUCUGGGCCGAAACUGACGCUGAGGAGCGAAAGCGUGGGGAGCAAACAGG